Molecule: ribosomal RNA, 465 nt
Filed under: Vreelandella stevensii
Lineage: Bacteria; Pseudomonadati; Pseudomonadota; Gammaproteobacteria; Oceanospirillales; Halomonadaceae
Description: partial 16S ribosomal RNA
Rfam family: Bacterial small subunit ribosomal RNA
Source: RNAcentral
CCUACGGGUGGCAGCAGUGGGGAAUAUUGGACAAUGGGGGCAACCCUGAUCCAGCCAUGCCGCGUGUGUGAAGAAGGCCCUCGGGUUGUAAAGCACUUUCAGUGAGGAAGAACGCCUGGUGGUUAAUACCCAUCAGGAAAGACAUCACUCACAGAAGAAGCACCGGCUAACUCCGUGCCAGCAGCCGCGGUAAUACGGAGGGUGCGAGCGUUAAUCGGAAUUACUGGGCGUAAAGCGCGCGUAGGUGGCUUGAUAAGCCGGUUGUGAAAGCCCCGGGCUCAACCUGGGAACGGCAUCCGGAACUGUCAAGCUAGAGUGCAGGAGAGGAAGGUAGACUUCCCGGUGUAGCGGUGAAAUGCGUAGAGAUCGGGAGGAAUACCAGUGGCGAAGGCGGCCUUCUGGACUGACACUGACACUGAGGUGCGAAAGCGUGGGUAGCAAACAGGAUUAGAUACCCUAGUAGUC